CCUUUCAAAAGUUUUGAAGAUGCUGAAUUAAAGAAUUCAACGAAGUGAUUUGCUGAGAGGGACAAGCUUCCAUUCCCGAUGCCUGCUGAAUCAAGACUAUCUGGUUUUGUUCGGGCUGAAAAAUCAGGAGAGGAAAUCUUCAUGUUCCAGCCUAACUGCAUAUUUAACAUUCAGAUCUUUCUGUUUGUGCUCAGGAGAGUAUGUAUCUUUAAAUGGUUGCAUCUGGAUGUAGCAAAGGUUUCAGAACCAUCGAUUAUUUUCCAUCUUUUAUUUGUGCCUCAGUACCAGAGUAAUGCUGAGUAAUAUAAGACAGUGACUUUUACUCUCCCUCUGUGCUCUGCAGAAAGGGCUGCCAGUGAACUCAUGCAAAUGGAUUGGGAAGUUAAAAAAAAAAAGCUUAUAUCUGAUUAUUUCCUUCCUAUGCAGUUGUGAGCAGCGAUACCAUCAGAGUGGUUCCAGAGGUCUCUAAAGACUGUUGUGGUGCACAUCUUGCAGAUUUUAGGGGUAGAAAAGAAAGUCCUAGCUCUCAUUUCAGAAAUAGCCUCAAUUAAAUUUGGUCCCUGCCAAGCUAGCUUAUGAUAAACUGGAGCAGGACUUUGAAAGCAACUCAGUACGUUUUACACCAUAUGGCAAAUAGCCACAAAAGUUAUUGCUUUUGCAGGAAACGAAUCUCCCACUGCUUUUGCAGAACAAUGAGCAGGCAUUAAAAAAAACGGUAGCAGCUAGAGUAGCCUGGUAGGUUGUAGGAUGGGUGGGGUUUGAAAAAGGGUCUCCUAGCCAAGAUUCAAGAGCAAUUCCCCUUAAUUCUGAUGGCUUUCAGUUAGAAAUACUGAUUUUGCCUCCUGUAUUGUUUGUUGCAGCUGUUUUUGAAAAGAUUGUGAAAUAAAAUUAUGGGAGAAAUAAACUGGGUUUGGGAGAGGUCUGAAUUCUUCCUUCAUAAGAUUUCCUAGGAAAAAGUAGAUCUGUCCCAGGGGAUCAAUUAUCUGUGCACUUCACUAUUUUGUUAGUUUCUGUGAGUUCGUUUGCUUUGGUUUUGCACAGCAGUUCAGUGAGAAAGAAAAUAUCACCUCCACGCUAAUUGUACUUCCUCUGAUACCAGCAGUGUGAAUUUUUUUUUCAACAUCUUCCAGGAAUCUUAUCAGGUCAUGCCUGAAUGAAAUCAAAUUAGUUGAAUUCUUUUGCUAUAGCUUUCUCUUUAGCUAUAUCACUGUUAAGAUUCAAAGGACCCACUUUUUAUUUAUUUCAAGGGCCAUUUACACCUCU
This is a long non-coding RNA of Chiroxiphia lanceolata (lance-tailed manakin), 1263 nucleotides long. RefSeq lists it as uncharacterized. The record is from RefSeq and is a predicted model, not a curated record. The transcript has 3 exons. Lineage: Eukaryota; Metazoa; Chordata; Aves; Passeriformes; Pipridae.